GACGAACGCUGGCGGCGUGCCUAAUACAUGCAAGUCGAACGGUCUUUUCUAUGGAAGCUUGCUUCCACUGAGAAGAUAGUGGCGAACGGGUGAGUAACACGUGGGUAACCUGCCCAUAAGAGGGGGAUAACAUCCGGAAACGGGUGCUAAUACCGCAUAGUUUUCUUGAUCGCAUGAUUGAGAAAGGAAAGACGGCCUUUGCGCUGUCGCUUAUGGAUGGACCCGCGGCGUAUUAGUUAGUUGGUGAGGUAACGGCUCACCAAGACGAUGAUACGUAGCCGACCUGAGAGGGUGAUCGGCCACAUUGGGACUGAGACACGGCCCAAACUCCUACGGGAGGCAGCAGUAGGGAAUCUUCCGCAAUGGACGAAAGUCUGACGGAGCAACGCCGCGUGAGUGAAGAAGGUUUUCGGAUCGUAAAACUCUGUU
This 429-nucleotide ribosomal RNA is filed under the name uncultured bacterium. Its description in RNAcentral is "bacterial SSU rRNA". It matches the Rfam family "Bacterial small subunit ribosomal RNA", at positions 28 to 437 of the family's 1533-position model. The record is from RNAcentral.